This 73-nucleotide transfer RNA is filed under the name Marmota monax (woodchuck). Its description in RNAcentral is "tRNA.Ala". The record is from RNAcentral. Lineage: Eukaryota; Metazoa; Chordata; Mammalia; Rodentia; Sciuridae.
GUGGGGUUAUUGCUCAGUGGUAGAGCACUUGCCUCGCAUGAGUGAGGUACUGGGUUCAAUCCUCAGCACCACA